GGGUUGGUAGCAUACCCUGUAGCUGCUAAGGGGCGCAGUUUUAAUACCUCCCCUUUGCUGCUACAUUGUAUGCUACGGACCC
This 82-nucleotide microRNA precursor is filed under the name Spodoptera frugiperda (fall armyworm). Its description in RNAcentral is "microRNA sfr-mir-2756 precursor". It matches the Rfam family "mir-2756 microRNA precursor family". The record is from miRBase by way of RNAcentral. Lineage: Eukaryota; Metazoa; Arthropoda; Insecta; Lepidoptera; Noctuidae.